RNAcentral lists this long non-coding RNA (253 nucleotides) under Daucus carota (carrot). RNAcentral describes it as "long non-coding RNA (DCAR_LNC007235)". Lineage: Eukaryota; Viridiplantae; Streptophyta; Magnoliopsida; Apiales; Apiaceae. The record is from RNAcentral.
UAUAAAUAUAUUAAUUUGCCUCCACUUCAAUAUCCUUUCCAAAAACUCAACUUCCUCACUCCCCUUAGAAUACUUUUCAAAAUCAUGUAUAUUUUGAUCUGAGAUUCCAAAAAAUUCUGGUAGCCACAUGAACAUGACAAAUAUAUAAGCCAAAGUAGAGCAUCUAUUUUUUUAUCUUUAUAAUGUGCAUUUGAAAUGAUAUAAAAGGUUAUAUAGCAGACUAAAAGUCUAGUUUUGGCAAGUUAUUUACUAU